Molecule: long non-coding RNA, 1696 nt
Organism: Lagopus leucura (white-tailed ptarmigan)
Lineage: Eukaryota; Metazoa; Chordata; Aves; Galliformes; Phasianidae
Exons: 4
Source: RefSeq, a predicted model, not a curated record
AGACUGCUUCUUUUGGAGUCUUCUCAGCAAGCCCAGGACAAAGGCUCUCUGAGUCCCUGUCAUUGCCUCAUCUCAGUCCGUCUGCAAUCCUCAUUCCCUAAUCUUCACCAAUGCUGUCUACAUUGACAUGAGUUUGCCUGCUCAGACUACUUCUGACUGGGGAGAAGUAUUAUUGAGGACCGACUCAAUUUCUCCAUUUCAGAAAUCUUUCAGCUUUGUAUCUUUGAAGUGGUCCUUUCCUGAGAUGGCAGAAGGACAUCCAGUCACUGAAAGGAGCUGGAAGGCAGCUGAGGGCAAAUACCAUGGCUGGAAGUCUGCCGCUGCUGUUGCAGAGCACUGCCAAAGGGAGACUGAACGGAAAAGCAAUCAGAACCUACCAAUAGGCAUCACUUCCUUGAUGCAGCCAAACUGUUCAUGAAUGAGAAGUGGUGAGCUGUAGUACCGUCGAAAUCCCUUUGGCUGGAGGGAGAGAAAGCAAAAACAUGUGAAGUGCAUUGCUGCCAUGAUUGACAUAGUAGAAAUAACCUCAGCUCCUUGGCUAGAGGCAUAGCAGAGCUUUUUUAUUUCUUCUGCAAAGUGUGGUGAGACUGGAAAUUUGCCUUCUGUUGUUGAGUCACUGUGGGGUGCAGAGAUCAGGGUUUUAUUUAAUUUUUCUCCUGGAAAAAGCUAAUUUCCCGUAUUUGUGUGGAAAAAGGAGGAGCUCAUUUCCAGCCUUUCUUUUCUUUUGUCUUACACAAAAGCAGCACUAAUUAAUUACAGUAGAAGUGCUGAAUCAUUAGAUGUUCUGAGAAGUUUUAUGUCCUUCUCCAUUUCUUCUUAUGUGAUGUGCAUUUGCACUGUUUUGCAUUUGUUAAACGUGCAUCUAUUCUUCCCCGUGUUUUCAUGUAUCGUUUCUUUAGGUUUUUCUAAAAUUUGCUGCUGACUGACCACAGUUUCCACUCUUUUUUUUUUUUCUUUUUUUUUUUUCCCCAGCUUUACAAGGUCUAAAAACUCCCCAGUUUUUAGAAAAUGCCCCCUAAACAUCUGUUCGUAGAGAAAUGCACUAUAACAACUCAAGCUACAUCACUAAAGAAUACCCAGCAUGGCCAGUGGUGCCCUAUAUCACUCUAUAAAUGAUUCUAAGAAGACUGAAUAUUUCUUGUUAUUUUUCUGUUUACCAUCUCAAAUUGGGAAUGCUUCAGGCAAAGGCAAAUGAAGGUGCUAACACCUAAAUCAUUGGAAAUGCCAUUCAAGGCAUUAGAGAUUCACAAAAGUUCUCUCUGAUCUCUGCAGGCUGUGAGAACUUCCAGCCAUAGUGAGAAGUGGGAAGGCAGCAUGAGGAUGUGCAUCUUUUCUGUAUCUUAUAUUCAGUAUGAAAAAAUUAUACAGUACUAGUUCUUUCACUAAUGAGCUGCAGUAUGGAAUGAGAAGGAGCAAGGGGGCUGGUAAAUUUGGUUACUGACAGAAACAAAUUCCAGAUUCCCCAGCUUCAGUUUAGACCCAAACUAAAUUCAGACACCACAUGAACUCAUAAAACUCCCAUGACUCUGCUGGAAUUCUUCCUGCUAUAAAUUUGGCCUCUUGUUUUCUGUUUUUGUACACUGAUCUCCACAAGAGUUGAGGCUGGAAUCAGGCAAUGUGUGAAGCAAUUAAUGUGAUUUAAUAUUUGGCUUGUCCCAAGCCUGCAGUGAGAUGAUUCUGCAGAUCAACUUCCUAU